GCCUACGGGGGGCAGCAGUGAGGAAUAUUGGUCAAUGGGCGGGAGCCUGAACCAGCCAAGUCGCGUGAGGGAAGACGGUCCUACGGAUUGUAAACCUCUUUUGCCGGGGAGCAACGGGGUCCUUGCGAGGUCCCAAUGAGAGUACCCGGAGAAAAAGCAUCGGCUAACUCCGUGCCAGCAGCCGCGGUAAUACGGAGGAUGCGAGCGUUAUCCGGAUUUAUUGGGUUUAAAGGGUGCGUAGGCGGGCUGCUAAGUCAGCGGUCAAAUGUCCGGGCUCAACCCGGGCCGGCCGUUGAAAC
Molecule: ribosomal RNA, 299 nt
Filed under: uncultured bacterium
Lineage: Bacteria
Description: partial 16S ribosomal RNA
Rfam family: Bacterial small subunit ribosomal RNA
Source: RNAcentral